RNAcentral lists this ribosomal RNA (473 nucleotides) under uncultured bacterium. Its description in RNAcentral is "bacterial SSU rRNA". It matches the Rfam family "Bacterial small subunit ribosomal RNA", at positions 335 to 801 of the family's 1533-position model. The record is from RNAcentral.
ACUCCUACGGGAGGCAGCAGUAGGGAAUCUUCCACAAUGGGCGCAAGCCUGAUGGAGCAACACCGCGUGAGUGAAGAAGGGUUUCGGCUCGUAAAGCUCUGUUGUUAAAGAAGAACACGUAUGAGAGUAACUGUUCAUACGUUGACGGUAUUUAACCAGAAAGUCACGGCUAACUACGUGCCAGCAGCCGCGGUAAUACGUAGGUGGCAAGCGUUAUCCGGAUUUAUUGGGCGUAAAGAGAGUGCAGGCGGUUUUCUAAGUCUGAUGUGAAAGCCUUCGGCUUAACCGGAGAAGUGCAUCGGAAACUGGAUAACUUGAGCGCAGAAGAGGGUAGUGGAACUCCAUGUGUAGCGGUGGAAUGCGUAGAUAUAUGGAAGAACACCAGUGGCGAAGGCGGCUACCUGGUCUGCAACUGACGCUGAGACUCGAAAGCAUGGGUAGCGAACAGGAUUAGAUACCCUGGUAGGAUAGCG